AUUGAACGCUGGCGGAAUGCUUACACAUGCAAGUCGAACGGCAGCACGGGGCAACCUGGUGGCGAGUGGCGAACGGGUGAGUAAUAUAUCGGAACGUGCCCAAUCGUGGGGGAUAACGUAGCGAAAGUUACGCUAAUACCGCAUACGAUCUACGGAUGAAAGCGGGGGAUCGCAAGACCUCGCGCGAAUGGAGCGGCCGAUAUCAGAUUAGGUAGUUGGUGGGGUAAAGGCUCACCAAGCCAACGAUCUGUAGCUGGUCUGAGAGGACGACCAGCCACACUGGAACUGAGACACGGUCCAGACUCCUACGGGAGGCAGCAGUGGGGAAUUUUGGACAAUGGGCGCAAGCCUGAUCCAGCCAUUCCGCGUGCAGGAUGAAGGCCUUCGGGUUGUAAACUGCUUUUGUACGGAACGAAACGGUCUGCCCUAAUACGGCGGGCUAAUGACGGUACCGUAAGAAUAAGCACCGGCUAACUACGUG
RNAcentral lists this ribosomal RNA (481 nucleotides) under uncultured bacterium. RNAcentral's name for it is "bacterial SSU rRNA". It matches the Rfam family "Bacterial small subunit ribosomal RNA", at positions 30 to 507 of the family's 1533-position model. The record is from RNAcentral.